RNAcentral lists this ribosomal RNA (634 nucleotides) under Penicillium asperosporum. RNAcentral's name for it is "eukaryotic LSU rRNA". It matches the Rfam family "Eukaryotic large subunit ribosomal RNA", at positions 1 to 649 of the family's 3401-position model. RNAcentral also lists the same sequence under 1 other name. Lineage: Eukaryota; Fungi; Ascomycota; Eurotiomycetes; Eurotiales; Aspergillaceae. The record is from RNAcentral.
UUGACCUCGGAUCAGGUAGGGAUACCCGCUGAACUUAAGCAUAUCAAUAAGCGGAGGAAAAGAAACCAACAGGGAUUGCCUCAGUAACGGCGAGUGAAGCGGCAAGAGCUCAAAUUUGAAAGCUGGCUCCUUCGGGGUCCGCAUUGUAAUUUGCAGAGGAUGCUUCGGGAGCAGCCCCCAUCUAAGUGCCCUGGAACGGGCCGUCAUAGAGGGUGAAAAUCCCGUAUGGGAUGGGGUGUCUGCGCCCAUGUGAAGCUCCUUCGACGAGUCGAGUUGUUUGGGAAUGCAGCUCUAAAUGGGUGGUAAAUUUCAUCUAAAGCUAAAUAUUGGCCGGAGACCGAUAGCGCACAAGUAGAGUGAUCGAAAGAUGAAAAGCACUUUGAAAAGAGAGUUAAAAAGCACGUGAAAUUGUUGAAAGGGAAGCGCUUGCGAUCAGACUCGCCUUGGGGGUUCAGCCGGCAUUCGUGCCGGUGUACUUCCCCCAGGGCGGGCCAGCGUCGGUUUGGGUGGCCGGUCAAAGGCCCUUGGAAUGUAACGCCUCUCGGGGCGUCUUAUAGCCAAGGGUGCCAUGCGGCCUACCUGGACCGAGGAACGCGCUUCGGCUCGGACGCUGGCAUAAUGGUCGUAAGCGACC